AAGACUUUAGAUAUGAUCCAGAGUACCACGGGACACGUGAAACCCUGUGGGAAGCAGGAGGGACCACCCUCCAAGGCUAAAUACUACCUAGUGACCGAUAGCGUAUAGUACCGUGAGGGAAAGGUGAAAAGAACCCCGGGAGGGGAGUGAAAUAGAACCUGAAACCCUGCACUUACAAGCUGUGGAAGCACAUUUCUUGUGUGACCGCGUACUUUUUGUAGAACGGGCCAACGAGUUACGUUAAGUAGCAAGGUUAAGCACUUAAGGUGCGGAGCCGUAGCGAAAGCGAGUUUUAACUGAGCGUUCAGUUACUUGACGUAGACCCGAAACCGGGCGACCUACCCAUGAGCAGGAGGAAGCGAAAGUAAAAUUUCGUGGAGGUCCGAACCCACGAGCGUUGAAAAGCUCGGGGAUGACUUGUGGGUAGCGGUGAAAUUCCAAUCGAGCCCGGAGAUAGCUGGUUCUCCCCGAAAUAGCUUUAGGGCUAGCCUCAAGGUGA
This 499-nucleotide ribosomal RNA is filed under the name Clostridioides difficile. RNAcentral's name for it is "bacterial LSU rRNA". It matches the Rfam family "Bacterial large subunit ribosomal RNA", at positions 390 to 890 of the family's 2925-position model. The record is from RNAcentral. Lineage: Bacteria; Bacillati; Bacillota; Clostridia; Peptostreptococcales; Peptostreptococcaceae.